RNAcentral lists this ribosomal RNA (253 nucleotides) under uncultured bacterium. RNAcentral's name for it is "partial 16S ribosomal RNA". It matches the Rfam family "Bacterial small subunit ribosomal RNA", at positions 524 to 776 of the family's 1533-position model. The record is from RNAcentral.
UACGAAGGGGGCUAGCGUUGUUCGGAAUUACUGGGCGUAAAGCGCGCGCAGGCGGCUAUCCAAGUCAGUGGUGAAAGCCCGGAGCUCAACUCCGGAACUGCCAUUGAAACUGUUUAGCUGGAGUAUGAGAGAGGUGAGUGGAAUUCCCAGUGUAGAGGUGAAAUUCGUAGAUAUUGGGAAGAACACCGGUGGCGAAGGCGGCUCACUGGCUCAUUACUGACGCUCAGGCGCGAUAGCGUGGGGAUCAAACAGG